GAUUACAGUACAGUCCUCGACGCCUUCACGCUGUAUAUGGGUUGAAGACAGCAUCGAGAAGAAGAAUAAGGACCAUGGCGUUGAAGAUUUUGCCCGGAAAUCUUCUGGGGCAAGGCGAAGUUUGCAGCCCCUUCGAAGCCGUGAAUGAUGAGCCAAAACAAACAUGUACGCUCACAGGCUGGCACCCCAGCAAAUCAACCAAAACAAGGAUGGUGGAUAUUCCAGUAACAGCAACAGGAAAAAUGCCCAAUUAUUCGAUGCGUAUAGAGCGCGCAAAUGGUGGUGCGCGAAGAGGGACCAAGUGAUGUGGAAGCUAGGUAACGUCUCUUUUCUGACGAAGAGAAAUAUAAAUUGCUUACUGAAUAAAGAAAUCGUCUUUAACGGGGAA
This is a non-coding RNA of Dermacentor albipictus, 388 nucleotides long. The record is from RefSeq and is a predicted model, not a curated record. Lineage: Eukaryota; Metazoa; Arthropoda; Arachnida; Ixodida; Ixodidae.